Molecule: ribosomal RNA, 464 nt
Filed under: uncultured bacterium
Lineage: Bacteria
Description: partial 16S ribosomal RNA
Rfam family: Bacterial small subunit ribosomal RNA
Source: RNAcentral
CUACGGGACGCUCCAGUGGGGAAUAUUGCACAAUGGGCGCAAGCCUGAUGCAGCCAUGCCGCGUGUAUGAAGAAGGCCUUCGGGUUGUAAAGUACUUUCAGCGGGGAGGAAGGGAGUAAAGUUAAUACCUUUGCUCAUUGACGUUACCCGCAGAAGAAGCACCGGCUAACUCCGUGCCAGCAGCCGCGGUAAUACGGAGGGUGCAAGCGGUAAUCGGAAUUACUGGGCGUAAAGCGCACGCAGGCGGUUUGUUAAGUCAGAUGUGAAAUCCCCGGGCUCAACCUGGGAACUGCAUCUGAUACUGGCAAGCUUGAGUCUCGUAGAGAGGGGUAGAAUUCCAGGUGUAGCGGUGAAAUGCGUAGAGAUCUGGAGGAAUACCGGUGGCGAAGGCGGCCCCCUGGACGAAGACUGACGCUCAGGUGCGAAAGCGUGGGGAGCAAACAGGAUUAGAUACCCGAGUAGUC